This 421-nucleotide ribosomal RNA is filed under the name uncultured bacterium. RNAcentral describes it as "bacterial SSU rRNA". It matches the Rfam family "Bacterial small subunit ribosomal RNA", at positions 420 to 842 of the family's 1533-position model. The record is from RNAcentral.
GGGUUGUAAACUUCUUUUAUAUGGGAAUAAAGUGCAGUAUGUAUACUGCUUUGCAUGUACCUUAUGAAUAAGGAUCGGCUAACUCCGUGCCAGCAGCCGCGGUAAUACGGAGGAUCCGAGCGUUAUCCGGAUUUAUUGGGUUUAAAGGGAGCGUAGGCGGGUUGUUAAGUCAGUUGUGAAAGUUUGCGGCUCAACCGUAAAAUUGCAGUUGAUACUGGCAUCCUUGAGUACAGUAGAGGUAGGCGGAAUUCGUGGUGUAGCGGUGAAAUGCUUAGAUAUCACGAAGAACUCCGAUUGCGAAGGCAGCCUGCUGGACUGUAACUGACGCUGAUGCUCGAAAGUGUGGGUAUCAAACAGGAUUAGAUACCCUGGUAGUCCACACAGUAAACGAUGAAUACUCGCUGUUUGCGAUAUACAGUAA